GUUUCCGUAGUGUAGCGGUUAUCACGUUCGCCUCACACGCGAAAGGUCCUCGUUUCGAAACCGGGCUGAAACA
This 73-nucleotide transfer RNA is filed under the name Loxodonta africana (African savanna elephant). RNAcentral's name for it is "tRNA-Val (CAC) (tRNA-Val-CAC-18-1)". It matches the Rfam family "tRNA". From Rfam's summary of the family: Transfer RNA (tRNA) molecules are approximately 80 nucleotides in length. Their secondary structure includes four short double-helical elements and three loops (D, anti-codon, and T loops). Further hydrogen bonds mediate the characteristic L-shaped molecular structure. tRNAs have two regions of fundamental functional importance: the anti-codon, which is responsible for specific mRNA codon recognition, and the 3' end, to which the tRNAs corresponding amino acid is attached (by aminoacyl-tRNA synthetases). tRNAs cope with the degeneracy of the genetic code in two manners: having more than one tRNA (with a specific anti-codon) for a particular amino acid; and 'wobble' base-pairing, i.e. permitting non-standard base-pairing at the 3rd anti-codon position. Lineage: Eukaryota; Metazoa; Chordata; Mammalia; Proboscidea; Elephantidae. The record is from Rfam by way of RNAcentral.